AGGAUUCCCCUCGUAACUGCGAGUGAAGCGGGAAAAGCUCAAAUUUAAAAUCUGGCGGUCUUUGGCCGUCCGAGUUGUAGUCUGGAGAAGCGUUUUCCGCGUUGGACCGUGUACAAGUCUCUUGGAACAGAGCGUCAUAGAGGGUGAGAAUCCCGUCUUUGACACGGACUACCAAUGCUUUGUGAUGCGCUCUCAAAGAGUCGCGUUGUUUGGGAAUGCAGCGCAAAAUGGGAGGUGAAUUCCUUCUAAAGCUAAAUAUUGGCGAGAGACCGAUAGCGAACAAGUACCGUGAGGGAAAGAUGAAAAGCACUUUGGAAAGAGAGUUAAACAGUACGUGAAAUUGCUGAAAGGGAAACGCUUGAAGUCAGUCGCGUCGUCCGGAACUCAGCCUUGCUUCGGCUUGGUGCACUUUCCGGAUGACGGGCCAGCAUCGAUUUUGACCGCUGGAAAAGGGCUGGAGGAAUGUGGCACCUUCGGGUGUGUUAUAGCCUUCAGUCGCAUACAGCGGUUGGGAUCGAGGAACGCAGCACGCCUUAUGGCUGGGGUUCGCCCACAUUCGUGCUUAGGAUGCUGGCAUAAUGGCUUUAAACGACCC
This 595-nucleotide ribosomal RNA is filed under the name Fusarium falciforme. RNAcentral's name for it is "eukaryotic LSU rRNA". It matches the Rfam family "Eukaryotic large subunit ribosomal RNA", at positions 71 to 650 of the family's 3401-position model. Lineage: Eukaryota; Fungi; Ascomycota; Sordariomycetes; Hypocreales; Nectriaceae. The record is from RNAcentral.